RNAcentral lists this unclassified non-coding RNA (1529 nucleotides) under Neodiprion pinetum (white pine sawfly). Its description in RNAcentral is "ankyrin repeat domain-containing protein SOWAHB, transcript variant X1". Lineage: Eukaryota; Metazoa; Arthropoda; Insecta; Hymenoptera; Diprionidae. The record is from RNAcentral.
UGGCGUCGCUGCGAUCGCUGCAGUAUCCAACAUGGCGACGCCCAGUGAGCUGUCGCUCGAAGAGAUUCGCAAGUAUUUGCUCGACAACGGGGGAACGGCCCGUAACCACGACCUGGUCAAGCACUUCAAGAAGUUCCUGACGGACCCCGAGACGCGAGUCGAGGCCCGCAACAAGUUCAAAGAGUACGUCAACUCCCUGGCCACCAUCAGGAACGAGGAGGGUGAAAAGUACCUAGUCCUGAAAAAAAAGUACCGACAUGCUCCGCUCUCGACUUCGACGUCGUCCUCGUCCCUGACCGAAUCUGGGCUUCCGAUUCCAAGCAGUCCUUCGACGCCUCUUUCGCCUCUUCGCGAGCCGCCUCCUUACAGACCGCCGCCACCGGCCGCAGCGAGUCCUUCUUCAGGAUCGGCGGAUCCUCGGGAUCGGCAGGAUCUGGGAGGAGAUGAUGGAUCGGGAAAAGUCGUCGAGGAAAAUCAGUCCGUGUCCUCGCCGCCGAUUCCUCCGCGUCGUAAGAGUCAGGACAAGCUUCGAAUCGAGAACAACAACAAGGAAAACGUCCUGCCGGAAGGCGAGAAAAUCGUCGACGAUGAAACCGCCGUAGGGGAGGACGGUGGUCCCGCUUCUUCGACAGCCUCGGCUGAACAGCUGAGCGUCCGCGAACGAAUGCAGCGAUUCAACAGGAUGGCUAGCGAGACCGAUAUUCAGGGCCCAGUCAAUGGCUCGACCACACCAAAUAAGAAACGCUCCGACAAGGGAACCGACGAAGAUGACAGGGCCUCCGUUGCUUCGCAAUUGGACGGAAAGUCAAGGGAAUGGCUCGUACGUGCUGCUCAGGGCGAUUACCAGACACUCGCCAAACUUGCUGCCGAAGAACCACGUCUCGCCAGGCUCAGGGAUCCAUCUUCUUAUACUGCGUUGCACUGGGGUGCGAAACACGGGAACGAGGACAUCGUUAAACUCAUCGCCGGUACCUACAAGGACUACAUCAAGAGUGUCAACGAGACCACGAAUGGGGGAUACACGCCACUGCACAUAGCGAUGCAGUUCGACCACGAGAACAUCUUUAAUCUUCUGGUCCAAGUGUACGGGGCGAAUCAGGACGUUCGUGACUACAGCGGUAAAAAGGCGAGACAGUAUCUGGCGUCGCAGGAGGCGGCGGUGAGCCAGGACACCUUCCGCAGGAUUACUGCUGCGGCCACGCUCAGAAAUAAAAGCAAGGAAAAAACAUGCAGAGAAAGAUAUUGGUUUCCUACGAAUUGGCUCAUUGAACGUCCGCGUGAAACGGACGACGGAAGCCUUCAGCCAAUUCCUGGGUGUGGCGACUAGCAACGCCAGCGCUACCAACGAAAAGAUUCACAAAAGUUGGGGAUCCGCCGAUAAUAUACAGACGGAACACAAAGUUAUGCCGCCACCAAAAUACGCACCGAUUAAGAAACGUCGAAGCAGACGAGCCCAGGAUUUCAAUUCGCAUCAAAGCAAUAACAAUCCUCAUCCCCAGGGACACGGCCAAGUUACCGAUCCUCCGCAA